Molecule: ribosomal RNA, 446 nt
Filed under: uncultured bacterium
Lineage: Bacteria
Description: partial 16S ribosomal RNA
Rfam family: Bacterial small subunit ribosomal RNA
Source: RNAcentral
CCUACGGGUGGCAGCAGUCGAGAAUCAUUCACAAUGGGGGAAACCCUGAUGGUGCGACGCCGCGUGGGGGAAUGAAGUUCUUCGGAUGUUAAAUCCCUUUCAUGUGGGAGCAAAUUAAAAAAAUAGUACCAUAAGAGGAAGAUAUCGCUAACUCUGUGCCAGCAGCCGUGGGAAUACGGCGGUCGUAAGCGUGGUUCGGAAGCACUGGGCGUAAAGCGGGCGUAGUCGGUUGAGUAAGUCGUAUGUGAAAGGCUCGGGCUCAACCCGAGGACGGCAUCUGAUACUGCGAGACUAGGGGAAUGGAGGGGGAACCGGAAUUCUUGGUGUAGCAGUGAAAUGCGUAGAUAUCGAGAGGAACACUCGUGGCGAAGGCGGGUUGCUGGACAAUAACUGACGCUGAGGCACGAAGGCCAGGGGAGCGAAAGGGAUUAGAUACCCCAGUAGUC